GGGGCGCAGGAAGGAUCAUGGAGAGUUUGAUCCUGGCUCAGAACGAACGCUGGCGGCGCGUCUUAAGCAUGCAAGUCGGGCGGCGAGGUGGUGGCUUGCCACCACCCUAGAGCGGCGGACUGGUGAGUAACGCGUAGGUGACGUACCCUCCGGACGGGGACAGCCCCUAGAAAUAGGGGGUAAUACCGGAUACGGCCGCGGGCGCUAGGGGCCUGCGGGGAAAGGGGCUUCGGCCCCGCCGGGGGAUCGGCCUGCGUCCCAUCAGCUAGUCGGCGGGGUAACGGCCUGCCGAGGCGACGACGGGUACCCGGCCUAAGAGGGCGGACGGGCACAUUGGGACUGAGAUACGGCCCAGACUCCUACGGGAGGCAGCAGCUAAGAAUAUUCCGCAAUGGGGGGAACCCUGACGGAGCGACGCCGCGUGGACGACGAAGGCCGGAAGGUUGUAAAGUCCUUUGGCCCGCGAGGAAUAAGCGCGCAGGUAAUGGCGCGCGGUGACUGUAGCGGGAGAACAAGCACCGGCUAAUUACGUGCCAGCAGCCGCGGUAACACGUAAGGUGCGAGCGUUGUUCGGAAUUAUUGGGCGUAAAGGGCACGCAGGCGGCGCCGCAAGCCUGGAGUGAAAUGCCGGGGCUCAACCCCGGGACUGCUCUGGGAACUGCGGCGCUGGAGUCAGCGAGGGGCAGCCGGAAUUCCAGGUGUAGGGGUGAAAUCUGUAGAUAUCUGGAAGAACACCGAUGGCGAAGGCAGGCUGCCGGCGCAUGACUGACGCUCAGGUGCGAAGGUGCGGGGAGCGAACAGGA
Molecule: ribosomal RNA, 803 nt
Filed under: Treponema sp.
Lineage: Bacteria; Pseudomonadati; Spirochaetota; Spirochaetia; Treponematales; Treponemataceae
Description: bacterial SSU rRNA
Rfam family: Bacterial small subunit ribosomal RNA
Source: RNAcentral